GACGAACGCUGGCGGCGUGCCUAAUACAUGCAAGUUGAGCGCUGAAGGUUGGUACUUGUACCGACUGGAUGAGCAGCGAACGGGUGAGUAACGCGUGGGGAAUCUGCCUUUGAGCGGGGGACAACAUUUGGAAACGAAUGCUAAUACCGCAUAAAAACUUUAAACACAAGUUUUAAGUUUGAAAGAUGCAAUUGCAUCACUCAAAGAUGAUCCCGCGUUGUAUUAGCUAGUUGGUGAGGUAAAGGCUCACCAAGGCGAUGUUACAUAGCCGACCUGAGAGGGUGAUCAGCCACAUUGGGACUGAGACCCGGCCCAAACGCCUACGGGAGGCAGCAGUAGGGAAUCUUCGGCAAUGGACGAGAGUCUGACCGAGCAACGCCGCGGGAGGGAAGAAGGUUGUCGGAUCGUAAAACUCUGUUGGUAGAGAAGAACGUUGGUGAGAGUGGAAAGCUCAUCAAGUGACGGUAACUACCCAGAAAGGGACGGCUAACUACGUG
RNAcentral lists this ribosomal RNA (497 nucleotides) under uncultured bacterium. RNAcentral describes it as "partial 16S ribosomal RNA". It matches the Rfam family "Bacterial small subunit ribosomal RNA", at positions 28 to 507 of the family's 1533-position model. The record is from RNAcentral.